AUGGACGUUGACACUGCGUUUCUAAACUCAACCAUGGAUGAGCCGAUCUACGUAAAACAACCACCCGGGUUUGUUAACGAGAGGAAUCCCGACUAUGUAUGGGAACUAUACGGCGGUAUGUAUGGACUCAAACAAGCCCCAUUACUAUGGAACGAACAUAUCAACAAUACUCUUAAAAAGAUUGGUUUCUGUCGACAUGAAGGCGAACAUGGCUUAUAUUUUCGUUCCACAUCUGAUGGUCCCAUCUACAUUGCCGUAUACGUAGACGACUUACUUGUUGCUGCUCCCUCUCCUAAAAUAUAUGACAGGGUUAAGCAAGAAUUAACGAAAUUAUACUCAAUGAAGGAUCUCGGUAAAGUUGACAAAUUCCUCGGUCUUAACAUUCAUCAAUCGUCAAACGGAGACAUCACUCUCUCCCUUCAAGACUAUAUUGCUAAAGCUGCAUCUGAAAGCGAAAUAAACACAUUUAAACUUACACAGACUCCGCUCUGCAACUCAAAGCCUCUUUUCGAAACAACUUCCCCGCAUCUAAAAGACAUCACUCCUUAUCAGAGCAUAGUUGGUCAGCUUCUCUUUUGUGCAAAUACUGGUCGUCCGGACAUAUCGUAUCCAGUCUCAUUACUCUCCAGGUUCCUUCGAGAACCUCGCGCAAUCCAUUUGGAGUCUGCUCGGCGGGUUCUACGGUACCUAUAUACCACCAGAAGUAUGUGUCUCAAGUAUCGUUCUGGAUCUCAGUUGGCAUUAACUGUAUAUUGUGAUGCAUCUCAUGGAGCUAUUCACGAUCUACCACACUCUACUGGGGGGUACGUGACUCUACUUGCUGGUGCUCCCGUUACGUGGUCAUCGAAGAAGCUCAAGGGUGUGAUUCCUGUACCAUCUACUGAGGCAGAAUACAUUACUGCAAGUGAAACUGUCAUGGAGAUAUAA
RNAcentral lists this small RNA (927 nucleotides) under Saccharomyces cerevisiae (brewer's yeast). RNAcentral's name for it is "YCL074W". The record is from RNAcentral. Lineage: Eukaryota; Fungi; Ascomycota; Saccharomycetes; Saccharomycetales; Saccharomycetaceae.